This 177-nucleotide ribosomal RNA is filed under the name uncultured bacterium. RNAcentral's name for it is "partial 16S ribosomal RNA". It matches the Rfam family "Bacterial small subunit ribosomal RNA", at positions 335 to 524 of the family's 1533-position model. The record is from RNAcentral.
ACUCCUACGGGAGGCAGCAGUAAGGAAUAUUGCGCAAUGGACGAAAGUCUGACGCAGCGAUACCGCGUGAAGGAUGAAGGUUUUCGGAUUGUAAACUUCUUUUAAUAGUGAACAAGCGAAAGUGAGAGUAACUAUAGAAAAAGCACCGGCUAACUACGUGCCAGCAGCCGCGGUAAU